UACAUAGGAUGCAAGCGUUAUCCGGAGUCACUGGGCGUAAAGGGUUCGCAGGCGGGUCUAUAAGUCUGUUUUCAAAUUCUUUCGCUCAACGAAAGGCAGGGAAUAGAUACUGUAGAUCUAGAGGUUUUUGGAGGGUAAUGGAAUUCCAGGUGGAGCGGUGAAAUGUGUUGAUAUCUGGAAGAAUGCCGAAAGCGAAAGCAGUUACCUACAAUUUACCUGACGGUCAGGAACGAAAGCUUGGGGAGCAAAUGGG
Molecule: ribosomal RNA, 253 nt
Filed under: uncultured bacterium
Lineage: Bacteria
Description: partial 16S ribosomal RNA
Rfam family: Bacterial small subunit ribosomal RNA
Source: RNAcentral